This 647-nucleotide ribosomal RNA is filed under the name Cantellius sp. 1 MPL-2014. RNAcentral describes it as "eukaryotic LSU rRNA". It matches the Rfam family "Eukaryotic large subunit ribosomal RNA", at positions 985 to 1593 of the family's 3401-position model. Lineage: Eukaryota; Metazoa; Arthropoda; Thecostraca; Balanomorpha; Pyrgomatidae. The record is from RNAcentral.
GCGCUCGUGUGAUACGGAGUUUCAUCCGGUAAAGCGAAUGAUCAGAGGAGCUGGGCUCCUUGCGAGCUCAACCUAUUCUCAAACUUUCAAUGGGUGAGACGUCUCGCUGGCUUCACUGCAGCGACGACUCUGAAUCCGAGUGCCCAGUGGGCCACUUUUGGUAAGCAGAACUGGCGAUGCGGGAUGAACCGCAUGUCGAGUUAAGGUGCCUAAGCGAACGCAAAUCAGAUACCAUGAAAGGUGUUGAUUGCUCACGACAGCAGGACGGUGGCCAUGGAAGUCGGCAUCCGCUAAGGAGUGUGUAACAACUCACCUGCCGAAGCAAUCAGCCCUGAAAAUGGAUGGCGCUAAAGCGUUCCACCGAUACUCGACCGUCGUCGGCAGGCGACGUGCAUGCCACGUCUCAAGCCACGACGAGUAGGGCGGCGCGGUGGUGAGCGUCGAAGGCGUAGCCGUGAGGCUAGCUGGAGCCGCCAUCGGUGCAGAUCUUGGUGGUAGUAGCAAAUACACAAGCAAGAUCCUUGUGGACCGAUGUGGAGAAGGGUUCCGCGCGAACAGUACUUGGACGUGGGUGAGUCGGCCCUAAGCCAACGGGUAAUUCCCGCAUCCCGUGUUGACCGUUUCUGAAUCGAAUAACAUGGGUUGAU